AACGCACAUUGCGCCCUUUGGUAUUCCGAAGGGCAUGCCUGUUCGAGCGUCAUUUAAACCCUCAAGCAUAGCUUGGUGUUGGGCGUCUGUUCCCCCGGGGACUCGCCUCAAAAGCAUUGGCAGCCGGUACGUUGGCUUCGAGCGCAGCAGAAAACGCGCCUGGCGUCUGACGGUACUGGCUCUCCAGCAAGUCACCCCCAAAUUUUGACCUCGGAUCAGGUAGGGAUACCCGCUGAACUUAA
RNAcentral lists this unclassified non-coding RNA (242 nucleotides) under uncultured fungus. RNAcentral describes it as "partial contains 5.8S ribosomal RNA, internal transcribed spacer 2, and large subunit ribosomal RNA". The stretch from base 1 to 52 matches the Rfam family "5.8S ribosomal RNA", at positions 103 to 154 of the family's 154-position model. The record is from RNAcentral. Lineage: Eukaryota; Fungi.